This 459-nucleotide ribosomal RNA is filed under the name Plesiolebias aruana. Its description in RNAcentral is "partial 16S ribosomal RNA". It matches the Rfam family "Bacterial large subunit ribosomal RNA", at positions 1926 to 2551 of the family's 2925-position model. Lineage: Eukaryota; Metazoa; Chordata; Actinopteri; Cyprinodontiformes; Rivulidae. The record is from RNAcentral.
AACGGCCGCGGUAUCUUGACCGUGUGAAGGUAGCGUAAUCAUUUGUCUUUUAAAUAAAGACCUGUAUGAAUGGCGUAACGAAAGCUUAACUGUCUCACUUCCCCAGUCAAUGAAAUUGAACUUUCCGUGCAGAAGCGGAAAUAAAAACAUAAGACGAAAAGACCCUGUGGAGCUUUAGAGAUUUAAGCAGCUACACUAAAAUUUAUUAAAUAUCAUACCCUGCUUAAAUAUCUUAGGUUGGGGCGACCACGGAGAAAAACAAAACCUCCACGAAAAAUUUAUUUAACUUAAAAUAAGAGCGCACAACUCCAGUUUUCAGAAUAUCUGUUCAAAAUGACCCGGUAAUACUAAAUCCGAUUAACGAAACAAGUUACCCCAGGGAUAACAGCGCAAUCCCCUUUUAGAGUUCCCAUCGAUAAGGGGGUUUACGACCUCGAUGUUGGAUCAGGACAUCCUAAU